CAGAUACUGUAGCACAAACAGUGACAGUUCAAGCAAAGGAACUUAGAAAGACUUUGAGAGAAAGUGACCUACCAGAGACAAUUCAAGAAAAAAAAAAACAAAAUCCCGUUAUUUGCAUGAAUGCAUGUUGUUUUUACCCUUUUGCUUUAGUUUUUGUAGUAAAACUUUACCUGUAAAUCAACCCGAGAUAAAUACCUGGGUUGCCUCAGCCAAAGACUGCAAGCUUUGAUACCAUCUGUUUGUCAGAUCAUACUGUUCCCAUUCAUACACAGCUGCAAAAUUUGAAAAAUUUAGCCAACCAAACUCAUAUUGAUAAUUUUAAAGUGAAUCAAUCUGACCAUCAAAAGUUAGAGAAGCUGGACAAUUUGUUUAAAGGUUUAAGCUUUGCACCUUGGCUAAGAGAACUCUGUAAAAUAAGCUUAAUUGUUUAAACAAGUGUUAACUGUAGUCUUAGCAGCAGUACCCGUUAUACUUCAGUGUGUGCAAAAACUAACAAGACAGUUUCUAGUUCUGCAGUUUUCAACUUUCCUCUUCUACCUCACCAGUCCCUCUUCAGAGCCCCAAAAAAAGGAUGGGUUAUCAGGAAAAAAGGGGUUUAAGCUGAGGGAAAAAGCUUCCUUUUUCACAAUUGCCUGUGUUCAAAUUGAAGAGGAAUCCACUUUCCCUGCAAUUUUAAUAGUCUCAAUUGGAGCAUUUCAAGGGUUUAAAGCUGCAUUUCAGGGCACUUCUACCCACACCCUAGCACCAAGUAUUUCCAAUGGGAGCAAGCCCAGCAGGAGGAUUGCAAUUUCCAGAAGUUCUAGGUCACAUCAAGUGCGAUAUUUCAGAUUCUCCCAGCAGAUUCAUCGUAACACAAAAGGGAACCACCCCCGCAGCAGCUUUCCUUAGCAGCGGAUGGUCCUCUCGCACAGAUUCACUUCAGGGAGGUAAGUCGAGGGCUGUGGUCACAGAGGGGAUCAAAGCAGGGCGAUGCAGACGGAUUGACCUCCUGGCAGAGCAUCUGUCCCAGAUGAGGAGAUCCCCCUGAGAAGGAAGUAAAGCUGGAAAGCAGCGGGGAAGGCGAAGCAGGUGGAAGGUGAGCCUCGGUUGGUGGAGAGAAGCAGUUGUUCUUGCUGGGGUCUCAGUUUCUGGUGCAACUCCAAGCAUCCCUGCUUGUUGGUGUGUUUUAGGCUGCCUCCUGAUGCUGUGCUGAGGCCCCCUCACUGACCUGUCAAGAGACCCAGUUUGCUUCUCUGGUGAGCCCCAGCAAAUAUUACCAGAGUCCGUCACGAAGUCUCGACCUCGUCCACGUGUCGGUGCGGUCCAGGUACCCUUUAGCUGAGGAGUCCCGGUGAGUUUGGGGCAUCGGAAGGAGCAGCGAGGGCGCGCUCAACUUUUAGCAACACUACAUCGCCACCUCUCCGUUUAUCCUAGGCGUACCCUGCGACCACGGCGUCCGCCUCAGAGCGUGGCCGAAGCGUGCGGCCGGAGGACCCGGGAGUUCCUAAGAGACGGUGAGUAGGAGUUGGGUUUUGGUGAAUAUGCCACUAAGAUUGUGCACUUAUAUUUGGUUUUCUUUAUCAUAGGUGAUGAUACUUGUCUGAGACAACAGCCCGGUGAGAGAAGAAGUUCCCAGACAGCGAGGUGGCUUUGUUUGGCACCCGACCGGCCUCUCGCUGUGACUCACAUCUUCAGCCCUCCGAGAGAUAAGUGGAGCCCGCAGAGGGGAUCAAAGCAGGGCGGUGGGUUGGGACUCAGAUCGGUUUGGGUUUUUGAGUGAGCUUUGGGGAUGGGGAGGUUCUGGAAAUGAUCCCAUAGGCCCCAGUGAGGGAAAGCCUCACUUUGGUUCGCAAUGGUGAGGCGAACAGGGCAGAGCAGUCCCAGGGUGUGUUGUCACUUGUC
Cyanistes caeruleus (blue tit) is the source of this 1881-nucleotide long non-coding RNA. The record is from Ensembl. Lineage: Eukaryota; Metazoa; Chordata; Aves; Passeriformes; Paridae.